RNAcentral lists this ribosomal RNA (465 nucleotides) under uncultured bacterium. Its description in RNAcentral is "bacterial SSU rRNA". It matches the Rfam family "Bacterial small subunit ribosomal RNA", at positions 1 to 507 of the family's 1533-position model. The record is from RNAcentral.
CGAUAUUCGACGAGUUUGAUCCUGGCUCAGAACGAACGCUGGCGGCAUGCCUAACACAUGCAAGUCGAACGAAGGCUUCGGCCUUAGUGGCGCACGGGUGCGUAACGCGUGGGAACCUGCCCCUCGGUUCGGAAUAACAGUUAGAAAUAGACUGCUAAUACCGGAUGAUGACUUCGGUCCAAAGAUUUAUCGCCGAGGGAUGGGCCCGCGUAGGAUUAGCUAGUUGGUGGGGUAAAGGCCUACCAAGGCGACGAUCCUUAGCUGGUCUGAGAGGAUGAUCAGCCACACUGGGACUGAGACACGGCCCAGACUCCUACGGGAGGCAGCAGUGGGGAAUAUUGGACAAUGGGCGAAAGCCUGAUCCAGCAAUGCCGCGUGAGUGAUGAAGGCCUUAGGGUUGUAAAGCUCUUUUACCUAGGGAUGAUAAUGACAGUACCUGGAGAAUAAGCUCCGGCUAACUCCGUG